GUGGGGAAUAUUGGACAAUGGGCGAAAGCCUGAUCCAGCAAUGCCGCGUGAGUGAUGAAGGCCUUAGGGUUGUAAAGCUCUUUUACCAGGGAUGAUAAUGACAGUACCUGGAGAAUAAGCUCCGGCUAACUCCGUGCCAGCAGCCGCGGUAAUACGGAGGGAGCUAGCGUUGUUCGGAAUUACUGGGCGUAAAGCGCGCGUAGGCGGUUUUUUAAGUCAGAGGUGAAAGCCCGGGGCUCAACCCCGGAAUAGCCUUUGAAACUGGAAAACUAGAAUCUUGGAGAGGUCAGUGGAAUUCCGAGUGUAGAGGUGAAAUUCGUAGAUAUUCGGAAGAACACCAGUGGCGAAGGCGACUGACUGGACAAGUAUUGACGCUGAGGUGCGAAAGCGUGGGGAGCAAACAGGAUUAGAAACCCCUGUAGUCC
This 425-nucleotide ribosomal RNA is filed under the name uncultured bacterium. Its description in RNAcentral is "partial 16S ribosomal RNA". It matches the Rfam family "Bacterial small subunit ribosomal RNA", at positions 354 to 796 of the family's 1533-position model. The record is from RNAcentral.